AGAUACCUACGGGACGCAGCAGUGAGGAAUAUUGGUCAAUGGACGCAAGUCUGAACCAGCCAUGCCGCGUGCAGGAAGACGGCUCUAUGAGUUGUAAACUGCUUUUGUACGAGGGUAAACGCAGAUACGUGUAUCUGUCUGAAAGUAUCGUACGAAUAAGGAUCGGCUAACUCCGUGCCAGCAGCCGCGGUAAUACGGAGGAUUCAAGCGUUAUCCGGAUUUAUUGGGUUUAAAGGGUGCGUAGGCGGUCGUAUAAGUUAGUGGUGAAAUCCCGAGGCUCGACUUCGGAAUUGCCUCUGCUACUU
Molecule: ribosomal RNA, 305 nt
Filed under: uncultured bacterium
Lineage: Bacteria
Description: bacterial SSU rRNA
Rfam family: Bacterial small subunit ribosomal RNA
Source: RNAcentral